GAAUCAUCGAAUCUUUGAACGCACCUUGCGCUCCUUGGUAUUCCUCGGAGCACGCCAGUUUGAGUAUC
Molecule: ribosomal RNA, 68 nt
Filed under: uncultured Ceratobasidium
Lineage: Eukaryota; Fungi; Basidiomycota; Agaricomycetes; Cantharellales; Ceratobasidiaceae
Description: partial 5.8S ribosomal RNA
Rfam family: 5.8S ribosomal RNA
About the family: 5.8S ribosomal RNA (5.8S rRNA) is a component of the large subunit of the eukaryotic ribosome.
Source: RNAcentral